This 546-nucleotide ribosomal RNA is filed under the name uncultured bacterium. RNAcentral describes it as "bacterial SSU rRNA". It matches the Rfam family "Bacterial small subunit ribosomal RNA", at positions 777 to 1329 of the family's 1533-position model. The record is from RNAcentral.
AAUAGAUACCCCGGUAGUCCACGCCGUAAACGAUGAAUACUAGGUGUCGGAGGGUACCACCUUCGGUGCCGCAGCAAACGCAAUAAGUAUUCCGCCUGGGGAGUACGGUCGCAAGAUUAAAACUCAAAGGAAUUGACGGGGACCCGCACAAGCAGCGGAGCAUGUGGUUUAAUUCGAAGCAACGCGAAGAACCUUACCUAGACUUGACAUCUCCUGAAUUACUCGUAACGGAGGAAGCCCUUCGGGGCAGGAAGACAGGUGGUGCAUGGUUGUCGUCAGCUCGUGUCGUGAGAUGUUGGGUUAAGUCCCGCAACGAGCGCAACCCUUAUUGUUAGUUGCUACCAUUAAGUUGAGCACUCUAACGAGACUGCCGCGGUUAACGUGGAGGAAGGUGGGGAUGACGUCAAAUCAUCAUGCCCCUUAUGUCUAGGGCUACACACGUGCUACAAUGGCCGGUACAACAAGAUGCAAUCCCGUGAGGGGAGCUAAACUCAAAAGCCGGUCCCAGUUCGGAUUGUAGGCUGAAACUCGCCUACAUGAAGUUGG